CAUUGUAGGUCCCUUACCCAUGUCACAUGGCUAUCCAGUAUCUCUUAUUAUGUAAUUAACAUUGACAUUGUAGGUCCCUUACCCAUGUCACAUGGCUAUCCAGUAUCUCUUAUUAUUGACCGAUUCACAAGGUUCUUUCAGGCAAUUCCAAUAAAGGACAGGAAAUCGGGAGACAUGCAUACAGGCAAUUCUGUACAACUGGAUUGCUCUGUUCGGCGUACCCAAAGAGAUUUCUGCAGAUCGUGGAAAAUCCUUCGACUCCUGGAACACGAUGUGUAGGAAGUUGGGAAUCAACAUGAUCAGAACUACGUCAUAUCAUCCAAGUGCCAAUGGAGCCACUGAGGGAGUACAUAGAACCUUAAAAGCUUCCUUAAUGUGUUAUGACAAUCCCUCUGAUUGGUACUUAUACUUACCGUUCGUACUACUCAGUUUCAGAGCGGCUUUAAAAGAAGACUUUGGGUUGCAGUUCAGCGGAACUGGUCUUCGGAAAAACAAUGCGACUCCCAGGGGAAUUCUUCGACGACGAUGUACAAACGGAGCCUCUGAACGCGGAGUUUGCUUAAAAGUUAACACAUGCGUUAACUAAAGUGCGAACCCGUCAUCAGCGAGGAAUCAAUUUUUCCUUCACGCAUCAGUAGAGCUGGUCGACGAGUCAAACGUCCAGCGUAUCUCGAAGACUUUGAAGCAUGAAUCUACCAAUCAUCAUCUGCUUUCCCUGUCUGGAACCAUUGCAUCCCUUGACGAAGAUUUUGGCAUUAGCUCAGGGUGAAUUCUAUGUACCGCCUGCAAAAACUUGUAUUCGUAAGCCAACGUACGCUGAAGUCAGAUUGCGAGAUACAACGCUUGUUGACUACUCUGUAUCGUUUGGUGGGCUUAAAAUAUCCUGGCCAGAUCUUGUCUGAACUUACUCACCAGCAUGUAGCGGGAAUAGCCGUUGGUGAUCUCA
Molecule: non-coding RNA, 946 nt
Organism: Ciona intestinalis (vase tunicate)
Lineage: Eukaryota; Metazoa; Chordata; Ascidiacea; Phlebobranchia; Cionidae
Source: RefSeq, a predicted model, not a curated record